RNAcentral lists this transfer RNA (65 nucleotides) under Osedax rubiplumus. RNAcentral describes it as "tRNA-Tyr". Lineage: Eukaryota; Metazoa; Annelida; Polychaeta; Sabellida; Siboglinidae. The record is from RNAcentral.
AAAUUGAUGGCUGAAUAGUAAGCAGAAGCUUGUAAAUCUUCCCAUGGUGUCUACACCUCAAUUUA